Molecule: ribosomal RNA, 431 nt
Filed under: Pimpla aequalis
Lineage: Eukaryota; Metazoa; Arthropoda; Insecta; Hymenoptera; Ichneumonidae
Description: partial 16S ribosomal RNA
Source: RNAcentral
GUCUUUUAGAUUAUAAUUUAAAGUCUAAUCUGCUCAAUGAUUUAAAAAUUAAAUAGCUGCGGUAUUUUGACCGUACAAAGGUAGCAUAAUCAAUAGUUUUUUAAUUAAAAGCUGGAAUGAAAGAUUUAAUGAAAUUUUAACUGUCUCAAAUUUAUUUAUAUAAUUUUUUUUGUUAAUUAAAAAAUUAAUAUGAUUUUAAAAGACGAGAAGACCCUAUAGAAUUUUAUUUUUUUUUAAUUAAAUUAAUAUAUUAAUUAUAAAUUGAAUUAAAAAUAAAUUUAAUUGGGGUGAUUUUUAAAUUUAAAAAACUUUUUAAAUAUUAAACAUUAAUUAAUGAAAAUUUGAUCUUAAAUUUUAGAUUAUAAGAAUAAAUUACCUUAGGGAUAACAGCGUUAUUUUAUUGGAAAGUUCAUAUUUAUAAUAAAAAUUGC